This 719-nucleotide ribosomal RNA is filed under the name Nematocera environmental sample. Its description in RNAcentral is "LSU rRNA". It matches the Rfam family "Eukaryotic large subunit ribosomal RNA", at positions 646 to 1283 of the family's 3401-position model. Lineage: Eukaryota; Metazoa; Arthropoda; Insecta; Diptera. The record is from RNAcentral.
GACCCGUCUUGAAACACGGACCAAGGAGUCUAUCUAAUGUGCAAGUAAAUGGGUAGCUUAUGAAAUCUAUUUGCACAACAAACAUGACUGUUUUACAUGGGAAUACGAGAAUAGAUGCGCAAGCGUUUAUCUCUUCCAUCCCGGGGUAUUUUCAUCAACAUAUGCUUGCAUAUGGAAAAUAUAUCAUGAGCACACUGGAUACGACCCGAAAGAUGGUGAACUAUGCCUGAUCAGGUUGAAGUCAGGGGAAACCCUGAUGGAGGACCGAAGCAGUUCUGACGUGCAAAUCGAUUGUCAGAAUUGGGCAUAGGGGCGAAAGACCAAUCGAACCAUCUAGUAGCUGGUUCCUUCCGAAGUUUCCCUCAGGAUAGCUGGUGCAUAGAAAAAUAAUUUUAUCAACUCAUACCUGGUAAAGCGAAUGAUUAGAGGCCUUAGGAACGAAAUGUUCUUAACCUAUUCUCAAACUUUAAAUGGGUAUGUAAGUUAACAUACUUGAUUGAUGUUGACCAUUUAGUGCAAAUUUUUUAUGAAUUUGUCAUGUAAGAUUGUAUGUGCCAAGUGGGCCAAGUUUUGGUAAGCAGAACUGGUGCUGCGGGAUGAACCGAACGCAUUGUUAAGGCGCCAAAAUAAACGACGCAUCAUCGAUACCAUGAAAGGUGUUGAUUGCUAAAGACAGCAGGUCGGUGGACAUGGAAGUUGUCAUCCGCUAAGGAGUGUGU